This 1330-nucleotide ribosomal RNA is filed under the name uncultured bacterium. RNAcentral describes it as "bacterial SSU rRNA". It matches the Rfam family "Bacterial small subunit ribosomal RNA", at positions 28 to 1381 of the family's 1533-position model. The record is from RNAcentral.
GACGAACGCUGGCGGCGUGCUUAACACAUGCAAGUCGAACGGACCCUUUGGGGUUAGUGGCGAACGGGUGAGUAACACGUGGGUGAUCUGCCCUGCACUUUGGGAUAAGCCUGGGAAACUGGGUCUAAUACCGGAUAGGACUACGCACUGCAUGGUGUGUGGUGGAAAGCUUUUGCGGUGUGGGAUGGGCCCGCGGCCUAUCAGCUUGUUGGUGGGGUGAUGGCCUACCAAGGCGACGACGGGUAGCCGGCCUGAGAGGGUGACCGGCCACACUGGGACUGAGAUACGGCCCAGACUCCUACGGGAGGCAGCAGUGGGGAAUAUUGCACAAUGGGCGCAAGCCUGAUGCAGCGACGCCGCGUGAGGGAUGACGGCCUUCGGGUUGUAAACCUCUUUCGCCAGGGACGAAGCGCAAGUGACGGUACCUGGAGAAGAAGGACCGGCCAACUACGUGCCAGCAGCCGCGGUAAUACGUAGGGUCCGAGCGUUGUCCGGAAUUACUGGGCGUAAAGAGCUCGUAGGUGGUUUGUCGCGUUGUUCGUGAAAACUCACAGCUUAACUGUGGGCGUGCGGGCGAUACGGGCAGACUGGAGUACUGCAGGGGAGACUGGAAUUCCUGGUGUAGCGGUGGAAUGCGCAGAUAUCAGGAGGAACACCGGUGGCGAAGGCGGGUCUCUGGGCAGUAACUGACGCUGAGGAGCGAAAGCGUGGGGAGCGAACAGGAUUAGAUACCCUGGUAGUCCACGCCGUAAACGGUGGGUACUAGGUGUGGGUUUCCUUCCUUGGGAUCCGUGCCGUAGCUAACGCAUUAAGUACCCCGCCUGGGGAGUACGGCCGCAAGGCUAAAACUCAAAGGAAUUGACGGGGGCCCGCACAAGCGGCGGAGCAUGUGGAUUAAUUCGAUGCAACGCGAAGAACCUUACCUGGGUUUGACAUGCACAGGACGCCGGCAGAGAUGUCGGUUCCCUUGUGGCCUGUGUGCAGGUGGUGCAUGGCUGUCGUCAGCUCGUGUCGUGAGAUGUUGGGUUAAGUCCCGCAACGAGCGCAACCCUUGUCUCAUGUUGCCAGCACGUUAUGGUGGGGACUCGUGAGAGACUGCCGGGGUCAACUCGGAGGAAGGUGGGGAUGACGUCAAGUCAUCAUGCCCCUUAUGUCCGGGGCUUCACACAUGCUACAAUGGCCGGUACAAAGGGCUGCGAUGCCGUGAGGUGGAGCGAAUCCUUUCAAAGCCGGUCUCAGUUCGGAUCGGGGUCUGCAACUCGACCCCGUGAAGUCGGAGUCGCUAGUAAUCGCAGAUCAGCAACGCUGCGGUGAAUACGUUCCCGGGCCU